GAUUAGAGUUUGAUCCUGGUUCAUGAAGAACGCUAGCUACAGGCUUAACACAUGCAAGUCGAGGGGCAGCAGAUCGAAAGCUUGCUUUUGAUGCUGGCGACCGGCGCACGGGUGAGUAACGCGUAUCCAACCUUCCCUAUAGCAGAGAAUAGCCCGGCGAAAGUCGGAUUAAUGCUCUAUGUUGUAUUUAGAGGACAUCUGAAGAAUACCAAAGGUUUACCGCUAUAGGAUGGGGAUGCGUCUGAUUAGGUAGUAGGCGGGGUAACGGCCCACCUAGCCGACGAUCAGUAGGGGUUCUGAGAGGAAGGUCCCCCACAUUGGAACUGAGACACGGUCCAAACUCCUACGGGAGGCAGCAGUGAGGAAUAUUGGUCAAUGGACGGAAGUCUGAACCAGCCAAGUAGCGUGCAUGAUGACCGCCCUAUGGGUUGUAAACUGCUUUUAUAUAGGGAUAAAGUCGGGGACGUGUCCCCC
This 474-nucleotide ribosomal RNA is filed under the name uncultured bacterium. RNAcentral describes it as "bacterial SSU rRNA". It matches the Rfam family "Bacterial small subunit ribosomal RNA", at positions 1 to 467 of the family's 1533-position model. The record is from RNAcentral.